Molecule: ribosomal RNA, 489 nt
Filed under: Triticum aestivum (bread wheat)
Lineage: Eukaryota; Viridiplantae; Streptophyta; Magnoliopsida; Poales; Poaceae
Description: partial small subunit ribosomal RNA
Source: RNAcentral
AUGGUUUCCGCCGACGCAGCUCGUAACAUCGUCGGCAUCAUCGGCAAUGUCAUCUCCUUCGGCCUCUUCCUCUCCCACGCGCCGAUGUUCCGGCGGAUCUGCAAGGCCAAGGACGUGGAGGAGUACAAGCCGGACCCCUACCUGGCGACGCUGCUCACCUGCAUGCUCUGGGUCUUCUACGGCCUCCCCAUCGUGCACCCCAACAGCAUCCUCGUCGUCACCGUCAACGGGAUCGGCUUCGUCGUCCAGCUCGUCUACCUCAGCAUCUUCUUUAUCUACUCCACCAACAACAAGCGGUUAAAGAUGCUCGCCGUGCUCGGCAUCGAGGCGGCGUUCAUGGCGGCCGUGGUGGCCGGCGUGCUCCACGGCGCGCACACCCACGAGAAGCGCUCCAUGAUCGUCGGCAUCCUCUGCGUCAUCUGCGGCUCCAUCCAGUACGCCUCCAAUCUUACCGUCAUGGUUCGUGUGAUCAGAACCAAGAGUGUUUAG